RNAcentral lists this ribosomal RNA (386 nucleotides) under Procambarus kilbyi. Its description in RNAcentral is "partial large subunit ribosomal RNA". The stretch from base 51 to 386 matches the Rfam family "Bacterial large subunit ribosomal RNA", at positions 2048 to 2600 of the family's 2925-position model. Lineage: Eukaryota; Metazoa; Arthropoda; Malacostraca; Decapoda; Cambaridae. The record is from RNAcentral.
AUGGUUGGACAAGAAAUAAUCUGUCUCAAAUUAAUAUAUUGAAUUUAACUUUUAAGUGAAAAGGCUUAAAUGAUCUGAAGGGACGAUAAGACCCUAUAAAACUUUAUAUUUAUAAUAUAGUAGUUAAUUUUAUUUAAAAAUAUUAUUUUAAAAUAUUUGGUUGGGGUGACAAGGAUAAAAUGUUGGAUAACUGUCCUUUUUUUUUACAGUAAUAUUUGAUUUAGUGAUCCUAAAAAGGAUUAAAGAUUAAGUUACUUUAGGGAUAACAGCGUAAUUUUCUUUAAGAGUUCUUAUCGACAGGAAAGUUUGCGACCUCGAUGUUGAAUUAAAAAUUCUUUAUAGAGUAGAGACUAUAAUAGAGGGUCUGUUCGACCUUAAAAUUUACA